GGCGAUCAAGGCAGGUGCUGUGGUUGCCGAGCUGAGGCCAGAUAGUCGCUAAACCCGCCACAGCGUCCGUGUCUGCCGGGGGAGAGAACUCGUCACAGCAGAAGAAAGAGGACCAGACCUUGAUUUAGGGCGUCUGCAUUGGUGCGACAGAGAACAGCAUCGGUUUCCUAUGGCAACAAUGGAGAAGAGCACAGCCUGCGGUUUGCCGUUCCAGGUGUUGAAGGCAUGGAGUGUGGAACAUGGUUUGUUGUUUGAACGUCGCGUGACACCGGCCAGCGAUGACAGCCGUGCUAGCGGGUG
This is a long non-coding RNA of Priapulus caudatus, 300 nucleotides long. RefSeq lists it as uncharacterized. The transcript is spliced from 3 exons. The record is from RefSeq and is a predicted model, not a curated record. Lineage: Eukaryota; Metazoa; Priapulida; Priapulimorpha; Priapulimorphida; Priapulidae.